Molecule: signal recognition particle RNA, 99 nt
Filed under: Rhodospirillaceae bacterium
Lineage: Bacteria; Pseudomonadati; Pseudomonadota; Alphaproteobacteria; Rhodospirillales; Rhodospirillaceae
Also listed under: 1 other name
Description: signal recognition particle sRNA small type
Rfam family: Bacterial small signal recognition particle RNA
About the family: The signal recognition particle (SRP) is a universally conserved ribonucleoprotein involved in the co-translational targeting of proteins to membranes. Archaeal SRP consists of a 7S RNA and homologues of the eukaryotic SRP19 and SRP54 proteins. In most bacteria, the SRP consists of a 4.5S RNA and the Ffh protein (a homologue of the eukaryotic SRP54 protein).
Source: RNAcentral
GAGGGACUGGCGGUGGACGGGCGCCUCGCCAACCCGGUCAGGUCCGGAAGGAAGCAGCCGUAACGAGUUUCCGCCUGGGUCGCCGUCAGGACCUCACCU